This is a long non-coding RNA of Camelina sativa (false flax), 385 nucleotides long. RefSeq lists it as uncharacterized. The record is from RefSeq and is a predicted model, not a curated record. Lineage: Eukaryota; Viridiplantae; Streptophyta; Magnoliopsida; Brassicales; Brassicaceae.
UUUUCUUGGGCCAAUACUUGAUAUGGGUGAUAUUAGUAUUGGAGCAGCUUCAUGGAUGCAAAAGCUGUGUUGAGAAAGAAAGAAAAGCAUUACUAGAGCUCAAGAAACUGUUGGAGCUCAAGAAACACAAUGUCUCAACAAGUUGGGACGAUGUUCUCCCUAGUUGGACUAAUGACACAAAGAGUGAUUGCUGUCAGUGGGAGUCCAUUGAAUGCAAUCGUAUAAGUGGCCGGAUUAUCGGGAUUUCUAUUGGUUUUUAUAACAUCGAUGGCCCUUUUCCUAUUAACGGACUAGAGAACUUGACAAACUUGGAACUGCUAAAUCUGGGUGGAAGCGGAUUUAACGGCACAAUACUAGAACUAAUGAAUUUGACUACCUUGAAACG